This 4927-nucleotide ribosomal RNA is filed under the name Triticum aestivum (bread wheat). Its description in RNAcentral is "partial small subunit ribosomal RNA". Lineage: Eukaryota; Viridiplantae; Streptophyta; Magnoliopsida; Poales; Poaceae. The record is from RNAcentral.
GCGUCUAGAUGGUAGCAGGGAUGCGACGGUGAACACGAUUGCUUAAGUGCGAUAGGUGUGCGUCAGUGUAGGAGUAGCGUAGGACGAUGAUAAGGUACGAAGACAUAUUUCGGAGACCCACGACUGAUCGCUCAUCGUUCACUUCGUAGUUCAUGGGGACCGUCUUGUUUUGGGGAGCGAUUUUUGUUCGCGCUUAUGUCGUGCCCCCCUCCCUCUCGCUCUCUCUCUCUCUCCGGUUGUUGGUAGACACGCCCGUCUAGCUGAGCAACAGAGCAACGUUACCUCCGGCUGUACCUGUACUCGAAGCUAAAGAGAACCCUCUGCGGAUUGAAGAAGCUCCGGGUCCACGACCUCGAGCCGCAGCAGCUGUCAUACAUGAACGGCCGACUCCUGAGCGACAGGCCAGACAUGAGCACGAUGCUGCUGAGCUCGAGCGGCCUGCCGCGGUCGAGCACCAGCAGCCGGUACUGCUCCCGUUGGGCGCGCUCGUUCUUGUAUUAGUACCUCUCCCUGGCAGCGUCCUCCGAGUUGCUCUUCGAAAUGUUGGAGGCGCCGCAGCAAGGUUUGUAGUGGUUCUACCUGUUCCGCAGGUAGUAGGUCCUGCGAUAGCGCAUGUAGCUCCGCGACGUCCUCGUCCUCGCCGUCGAAGAUCGGCUCUAUAGGCUGGAGCUUGGUCUGUUGACGUGGCGGCGCCAGUUCCGCCUUCUGCAGCGGAGGCAGCCCUCGGUCCGUCUCCUUCUGCCGCACCCGAACGGUGCCGUCUUCUUCUACUCCUCCUGAUCGAGGCGGAGGAGGUAGUUGCUGCGGUAGUGAAGGGGACGGUGCAUAGGCCAGCUUUAGGAGCUCGACCUCCACUGCUUACAUCGCCUCUUCGACAGCCACCACUCGGACUCCGUGCCGUUCCGCGCCCUGCGGUACCGGUUCCACACGCCCCGCGACGUCAGCGAGACAGAGUUCCAGUAGUGCCGUUCGCAGUGGUGGCACCGGCCGCCGUACCAGGUGUGGUACAAGCAGCUCCAUUGGUAGGUAGCUAAGCGACAGAAAGGGUGGGUUAGUUAACGAGGAGAGCGAGAUAGGACUAAAGAGGUUGCUUUUCCUAAACGAAGGCAGGGAAAACGAGCCAACGAGGGCUUAAAGAAACUACUGUAGUGGAAACUACUGCAGUGUUUUUACUGUAGUAUACACUGUACCGAGCAAGUAUUUUUCGUAUGCGACCCAAAGAAAGGAGGUAGUUGAGCCAUCUAAUAAUGCUUGAAGUACUACAUCACGUAGACACGAAAAGCUCUAAAUUCAAGCUAUUAUUUAAUUUAGUUGUACCUUUUGAUGCCGCCUCGUUUUAAAUUUAGUGACUUUUGAAGAAAGCUUAUUCUUAAGUUACUAUAUUAAAAACGAGGGCGGCAUCAGCGGGUGUAACUAAUUUAAAUAUUAGUUUGAAUUUAGAAUUUUGUGUCUGUGUGAUUUAAUACUUUACUUUCUUCAUGAGGGGCAUUCCUUUCAUUUUCCCCGCUGCAGGAUAGUACAUCAGGAUGGAGUAUUUUAUACUGGUUACUUUUAGGAGGCGUUAUUAGGAGACUUCGACGUGGUGGUGAACUAGGAGGCUGUAUCUCUUUUUGUGAUGAGGAGCUUGGAACCAUACAUAGAGACAGGAACGCAAAAGUUACGCACCGCCGAGCUCAACUGUGUGACAGAGUUUUUUGUACUCAGAGUUUGACGUUCCGUACACGUAUGAUGAGGAGCUUGGAACCAUACAUAACGAGUAGCAGCGCUUACAUUCGGACCAACGGUGCCACUAAGACAGCGAUAAUAAGCGGCGGCAGCUUGCUGCUUCUGGGAGACAUUGUUAAUAAGGGCAUACGUGGUAGAGGUAGUAUCAGUUUGAAAGUGUAGAUACGUAAGGAAGCUCGUACCAAUUAUUAUGUCGGUUGCUAGCCAAUAUUUCUCAAUAGUACAGUAGAUCUCAGUUUGAGUAUCUACCGUACAUGUUAUGAUGAUCAUUCGAACUUUUACACAUGACAAAAUAAUUAUCAACCGGGUGUAAUGUGGAGUGUUUCACAGAACCCAGAGCACAACGUCGACCGAUGAUUGGUUCUCGGACAAAGAGAAGAGAGAGGAGGUUGAAUCAUGCAUUCUAUAAUAUAAUAUAAUAUAAGGAAUGUCGUACGAAUACAGUGGAAUAAAUGAACGAGAAGACGGUCGCGACAAUAGUUUGGUUGUUACCAGUCGAGGUUUUGGUGACGCGCGGGCCACACAGAAGAAACAUACAAACACGGUGGAACUACUAGUUAACAAAAAGACUAUUUCCCACUUUAAAUAAAAGAAUUUUACCUCGUAGUCCUACUAUGUUUGUGUUUCUUGUGUGUAGGCUAGAAACGUACUAAUCCUACAUGUGUUGGUUGCGGGUACGUGCGUGUGUAUUUAUGUAGUCGUUUAUCAUUUCAGUAUAUUCUGGUUGUAAUACGCAUCCGCUCCUUUUUUAUUUUUGAGUUUCGCUAUGCUAAGUGAUAGCUAUUUGAUGUAGUUACUGGUAUCGGCGUUGUUGGUAAAGUACUGUGGUGUGCUUACUGUUCCAAGAAGUUGUUGUCACGGAAGUCUUUCCCUAGCCGCGAGUAUGCGGCGGCAGUGGUCUGGGUUGGUGGGUUCAGAUCUUAUAUGUAAAAGUGGGAUUUCUUGGUCAUAUUAGUAAAAGCUCGUUGCGGAAAUCGUUCCAUUCCUGUGUUUUUAUAGCCUCAUAUUGGUUCUGCCCAGUCCGGAUCCAAACGUGGAGUCUUGAGUUCGGUUGCAGUGCAUACACAACAUCGGUAGUGAAAAAGCACUAGGGCCGUCGACGUACGCUACACCUGGUAACGGCGAUGCGGUUCCAUAGCGGGUAUCAAACGUAGAAGGGCGGUUUCGGUUGGUGGCUCAGACCUCUCUCCUUGGGAGUGUUUCUGGAAAGCCACCCGUGGUGUAAGGCAGUACUCAGGUGGCAACGUGCGGCCACACCAAUGGUAUUCCUGGUUGAUGUUACCGCUUCGUGUUGUGGCAGCUGAUGGUGGAGUGACCUCUCUCGGGAAGUGUCCGAACAGUAGGAUCCCCGGCUAUACCGACCUCGGCAUCGUACUUUCCGUGUAGUUAUAGCGGGCGCACCUCGCAUCGGCGGUGAUCUAGUCCUCGCCUAUCGGCGAUCUAGCUGCAACGGAAGGCUAGGUCCAGCUGUUCUUGGUUCCGGCGUAACGGUUUAUCCCUUCGGCUGUGCACGUGACCCUGACGACAGUGGCGGUAUUUUGCUCCGAAGAUAUGUCCUCGACGGGCGGGUCGUGGUGGACCUUCGACAACGUAGGUGUGUUGUUUUCGGUAUCCCUGCUGCGCGGGGCAGCGGUUGAAGGAGCUCAGCAGACCGCGAAGCGUACACUCGGGAGAUCACCGCCGCUACACAACCCUUCUCUUUCCUCGUGGGAUCACCACCGACGCUACUCACAAAGGGGGUACAGCGUCCUCCGCUGUGCCCCCUACGCCCACAAGCGAAGUCAAGAUCCGCAGAAACAGCCUAGUUAUCGAAAACCACUCAUUCUCAUCUUGAUAUAGGGCGUUUUUUUCUCAUAUUAGGGUCACAUGCUCGCGUGAUCCAUCAUUGCGGCGUAUAACCCGAACGUCACACUGUAAGGAGGAUAGAGAGUACGUACGUACGUAUGUUUUCGUACUAUAGUUAUUUGGUAAAGGGAUUUAACUUAAUUUUUUUAGAAAUGGAGAAUUUAGUAACUGGGCUAAUUACUAAACGAAAGUGAUCGUAAGACCACUGCUUUAGAAGCUUUGAUCUAGGGUAUGGUUGUACAAAGCUGUUAAAAAAACGGCCAUGUACGGUAUAAUCACAGUGAAUCAAUAGAAAUAAUCGAUGGAACAACAGUUUAACUUUAAUUGAAUCAAAAAUCUAAAGACCUUCAGCUAUAUGUGACGAUUUUCGAACGAAGUACUACGAAUACAAUCAACCACGGAGAAGGAUGAAUAACAAUUAGCAACUUAUGAGUAAGAAAUCGAUACGUAUUGUAACGUCACAGGUUUUUGCAUACUUUCAUAACGAGCCAUUGAUAUAUGUUAGUAGUACCUUUAACAAGUGCCAAUUUCUACCGUUGAUCCCACUGUAUUAGAGUGUUGACUACCGUUACUUUUUUUUAGUAACUUCUUACAGUUGUAGUCUAGAACAAAGCUUCGGAACACCUCUGUUUGGGUCGCCACAUCUUCCUAGCGAUUAGCCUAAUCGCUAAAGACUCUAUUUAGUAAUAUUUUCAAGUUACGUUAAUUACACUACUGUAGUUGAAAUCUACUUUCUAAGGACAUACGUACGUACACGGAAAAGAUCUUCACUUUUUACGGCAACUUUCCACACCAUCGUAGUUUUCUGUGUAUACGUGUGUAACGAUGUAUAAAAAAAGGAAUUAAAAUAACUAUUUUGAAUCAAGAUAAAAAGUCUGUCUUCCCUACCUACCACGAGUCUGUUAGUUCCUCUACUAUGUCCAACGUGAGGUGGUAGAGUUUACUCUUCUUCGGGCAGUUUAAGGUACUCAAUGACUACUACAAUUUCACAACGUUUGCUACGUGAUGACUGAAGAUGGAUAUCACAUAGUACAAGUGAUUUAGUACUGUUCUCUCCGGAUACUCAGGUGGAAUCAUACAGUAGUAGAUUAUUGUGGUGUUGUUAACAUCAAUAAUUAGUGAUCGUUUUCUCGGGCACGCAACGUUGCCCUCUUUUUUGUGUUGUGUGUGAGAAUUGGCUUGUUGGUAGUGAGUUCUGGUAUUAUCCAGGUAGAGGAAAUAAAAUCGCUGCGUAGUAUAAACACAACGGCGAAUAGGAAGAAAAGUGGGAGCGGCCGCUACCGGAAUCACAAGUGUGUUUGGUUUUGCACAAACUUACACCAAUUAGGAUUCUGCAGAGAGAGAGGAGGGAGAGGGG